AGAGAGAUGGCAGAGUGGUUUAAUGCAUCUAACUUGAAAUUAGACAAAUAAAUUUUCGUGGGUUCAAAUCCCAUUCUCUCUU
Toxoplasma gondii VEG is the source of this 82-nucleotide transfer RNA. It matches the Rfam family "tRNA". Rfam says of the family: Transfer RNA (tRNA) molecules are approximately 80 nucleotides in length. Their secondary structure includes four short double-helical elements and three loops (D, anti-codon, and T loops). Further hydrogen bonds mediate the characteristic L-shaped molecular structure. tRNAs have two regions of fundamental functional importance: the anti-codon, which is responsible for specific mRNA codon recognition, and the 3' end, to which the tRNAs corresponding amino acid is attached (by aminoacyl-tRNA synthetases). tRNAs cope with the degeneracy of the genetic code in two manners: having more than one tRNA (with a specific anti-codon) for a particular amino acid; and 'wobble' base-pairing, i.e. permitting non-standard base-pairing at the 3rd anti-codon position. NCBI's taxonomy places the organism in Eukaryota, Apicomplexa, Conoidasida, Eucoccidiorida, Sarcocystidae. The record is from Rfam.